Molecule: small RNA, 77 nt
Filed under: Belnapia rosea
Lineage: Bacteria; Pseudomonadati; Pseudomonadota; Alphaproteobacteria; Acetobacterales; Roseomonadaceae
Description: suhB
Rfam family: Makes More Granules Regulator RNA (mmgR)
About the family: SuhB later renamed mmgR (makes more granules regulator) was a putative non-coding RNA found multiple times in the Agrobacterium tumefaciens genome and related alpha-proteobacteria. Other non-coding RNAs uncovered in the same analysis include: speF, ybhL, metA, and serC. Several studies inSinorhizobium meliloti showed that suhB element is indeed a non-coding RNA:firstly it was detected on Northern blot and called Sm8RNA, secondly in an RNAseq study referred to as SmelC689.
Source: RNAcentral
UCUUUCUGCCGUGUGACUGGCGUUUCCUCCCUAAACUCGGGCCGUACCCCAUGGGUGCGGCCCUUUUUUUCGUCUAC